Molecule: non-coding RNA, 268 nt
Filed under: Bacillus sp. (in: firmicutes)
Lineage: Bacteria; Bacillati; Bacillota; Bacilli; Caryophanales; Bacillaceae
Description: Bacillus sp. T-box sequence
Rfam family: T-box leader
About the family: Uncharged tRNA acts as the effector for transcription antitermination of genes in the T-box leader family. T-boxes are found upstream of many aminoacyl-tRNA synthetase genes and some amino acid biosynthetic genes usually in Gram-positive bacteria.
Source: RNAcentral
GUAAAUGCAGUGAUUGGGAAAAGUACAAUGGGAUACUACUUUAUCAGAGGUAUUUAUCAUACUUCUUCAGAGAGGGAAAUCAAUAGCUGAAAGAUUUCCUAAGAGAGAACAUUGGAAAAGUCACCCAUGAGUAGCUUCUGUGAAACAUAGCGGAGUAAUGGAAGCCGGCGAAGAGCCGUUAUCUUACAUAAGUGCCAGAAACAGUUCUUUUAAUGCUGUUUCUGUGAAAAAAGGUGGUACCGCGAAAAUCGCUCCCUUCGUCCUUUUG